GCAUGGACGAAAGUCUGACGGAGCAACGCCGCGUGAGUGACGAAGGCCUUCGGGUCGUAAAGCUCUGUUGUUAGGGAAGAACAAGUACCGUUCGAAUAGGGCGGUACCUUGACGGUACCUAACCAGAAAGCCACGGCUAACUACGUGCCAGCAGCCGCGGUAAUACGUAGGUGGCAAGCGUUGUCCGGAAUUAUUGGGCGUAAAGCGCGCGCAGGCGGUCUCUUAAGUCUGAUGUGAAAGCCCACGGCUCAACCGUGGAGGGCCAUUGGAAACUGGGGGACUUGAGUGCAGAAGAGGAGAGUGGAAUUCCACGUGUAGCGGUGAAAUGCGUAGAUAUGUGGAGGAACACCAGUGGCGAAGGCGGCUCUCUGGUCUGUAACUGACGCUGAGGCGCGAAAGCGUGGGGAGCAAACAGGAUUAGAUACCCUGGUAGUCCACGCCGUAAACGAUGAGUGCUAGGUGUUGGGGGGUUCCACCCUCAGUGCUGAAGUUAACACAUUAAGCACUCCGCCUGGGGAGUACGACCGCAAGGUUGAAACUCAAAGGAAUUGACGGGGGCCCGCACAAGCAGUGGAGCAUGUG
RNAcentral lists this ribosomal RNA (582 nucleotides) under Bacillus sp. CO36. RNAcentral's name for it is "bacterial SSU rRNA". It matches the Rfam family "Bacterial small subunit ribosomal RNA", at positions 368 to 943 of the family's 1533-position model. The record is from RNAcentral. Lineage: Bacteria; Bacillati; Bacillota; Bacilli; Caryophanales; Bacillaceae.